UACGUAGGUGGCGAGCGUUAUCCGGAAUUACUGGGUGUAAAGGGCGCGUAGGCGGGUAUGCAAGUUGGAUGUGAAAUUCCGGGGCUUAACUCCGGAUUGUCAUCUAAAACUGUGUAUCUUGAGUGUCGGAGGGGAAAGUGGAAUUCCUAGUGGAGUGGUAAAAUGCGUAGAUAUUAGGAGGAACAUCGGUGGCGAAGGCGACUUUCUGGCUGACAACUGACGCUGAGGCGCGAAAGCGUGGGUAGCGAACAGGAUUAGAUACCCUGGUAGGUCCCUGA
RNAcentral lists this ribosomal RNA (278 nucleotides) under uncultured prokaryote. RNAcentral describes it as "partial 16S ribosomal RNA". It matches the Rfam family "Bacterial small subunit ribosomal RNA", at positions 524 to 800 of the family's 1533-position model. The record is from RNAcentral.